UGGCGGACGGGUGAGUAACGCGUGGGUAACCUGCCUUACACAGGGGGAUAACACUUAGAAAUAGGUGCUAAAACCGCAUAAGCGCACAGCUUCGCAUGAAGCGGUGUGAAAAACUCCGGUGGUGUAAGAUGGACCCGCGUCUGAUUAGCUUGUUGGCGGGGUAACGGCCCACCAAGGCGACGAUCAGUAGCCGGCCUGAGAGGGCGGACGGCCACAUUGGGACUGAGACACGGUCCAGACUCCUACGGAAGGCAGCAG
RNAcentral lists this ribosomal RNA (258 nucleotides) under uncultured bacterium. Its description in RNAcentral is "partial 16S ribosomal RNA". It matches the Rfam family "Bacterial small subunit ribosomal RNA", at positions 96 to 354 of the family's 1533-position model. The record is from RNAcentral.